AGUUAUGUACGAGGUCUUCUGGAUAUGGUGAAUUGUGUACGAAUAUUAUGAGUAGGUCAACAAAGAAUUAAUCACUUCUAGUAAGAGAAGAUAGCAUCCUAUUUAUUCUAAUCAUAUGAUAAUUCAGGAAGCCUUUGGUCAAAGUAGAAUGAAAAUUAGAAAGAGUUUCUAAUGUUUCAUUAUUUGAAUUAUCAUUAAAAGAUUGAGAAAAAUAUGAAUAUGAAAUUGAGUUUGACAUAUAUUCAUACUCAUAUACAUAUUUGGGAUGCAGUUUGAUUAAAGGAUUGAAUUGCAUGGUAACUUGCCACUGAAGAGUAUUUUUGGUAUUUCUACCAAAUUCCAUAUUUUUCGGGUAGACAUGACACGUUGCUAGACGUCAAUCUUGUUUUAUAGGUUUGAUCAAAUUAAAGAGUUUAAUUCGAUCACCAAUUAGAAAGGAUUCUAAUUGUUAAGUUCGAGUUCGUGCAGUUUGGACUUAAAUCGAUUAGAAGAGUUCUAAUCAAGUU
Molecule: long non-coding RNA, 506 nt
Filed under: Phoenix dactylifera (date palm)
Lineage: Eukaryota; Viridiplantae; Streptophyta; Magnoliopsida; Arecales; Arecaceae
Description: long non-coding RNA (PDAC_LNC010133)
Source: RNAcentral